UAGAGUCCAGGUUACCCGCCGUGCCA
RNAcentral lists this small RNA (26 nucleotides) under Bombyx mori (domestic silkworm). RNAcentral describes it as "ovarian small RNA-22031". The record is from RNAcentral. Lineage: Eukaryota; Metazoa; Arthropoda; Insecta; Lepidoptera; Bombycidae.